UAAACUGGUGCGUAAAGUCUUCCAGAAUACCGAACACGUUCAUGUCGUCGGCCUGCGAGGAUUUGCGCCGCAACUCCCUGAAACGCUUCCAGGAACUGACGAAGCGCCUUCUCAGGCGAGUUAAAAUUAAGGCGGCAGCAAUGCCGCCUUUUCUUUUUCCGAAAACUCCGUUUCUGCACUAAAAAAGUGGCACAUUACGGCGCGCUUUUCUUUAAACUUCUUUACAUUAGGUUAUGUAAAAACGUAUCGGCGUUUAUAUACUGAAGAUAAGCCUGAUGAGUAACAGGCUUGCUCGUCAUACUUUCGUGAGUAUUGGCGUUGUACAGGCAAGUCGUAAAAUAACAGCCUGGCUAUUCAGAGUAUGAUAAAAACAGGGGGCAAGGGAUGUUGCUUAAUAUGAUGUGUGGUCGUCAGCUGUCGGCAAUCAGUUUGUGCCUGGCCGUAACAUUCGCUCCACUGUUCAAUGCGCAGGCCGAUGAGCCUGAAGUAAUCCCUGGCGACAGCCCGGUGGCUGUCAGUGAACAGGGCGAGGCACUGCCGCAGGCGCAAGCCACGGCA
RNAcentral lists this ribosomal RNA (558 nucleotides) under uncultured archaeon. RNAcentral describes it as "partial 16S ribosomal RNA". The record is from RNAcentral.